Molecule: ribosomal RNA, 703 nt
Filed under: uncultured Arthrobacter sp.
Lineage: Bacteria; Bacillati; Actinomycetota; Actinomycetes; Micrococcales; Micrococcaceae
Description: bacterial SSU rRNA
Rfam family: Bacterial small subunit ribosomal RNA
Source: RNAcentral
GGCCUUCGGGUUGUAAACCUCUUUCAGUAGGGAAGAAGCGAAAGUGACGGUACCUGCAGAAGAAGCGCCGGCUAACUACGUGCCAGCAGCCGCGGUAAUACGUAGGGCGCAAGCGUUAUCCGGAAUUAUUGGGCGUAAAGAGCUCGUAGGCGGUUUGUCGCGUCUGCCGUGAAAGUCCGGGGCUCAACUCCGGAUCUGCGGUGGGUACGGGCAGACUAGAGUGAUGUAGGGGAGACUGGAAUUCCUGGUGUAGCGGUGAAAUGCGCAGAUAUCAGGAGGAACACCGAUGGCGAAGGCAGGUCUCUGGGCAUUAACUGACGCUGAGGAGCGAAAGCAUGGGGAGCGAACAGGAUUAGAUACCCUGGUAGUCCAUGCCGUAAACGUUGGGCACUAGGUGUGGGGGACAUUCCACGUUUUCCGCGCCGUAGCUAACGCAUUAAGUGCCCCGCCUGGGGAGUACGGCCGCAAGGCUAAAACUCAAAGGAAUUGACGGGGGCCCGCACAAGCGGCGGAGCAUGCGGAUUAAUUCGAUGCAACGCGAAGAACCUUACCAAGGCUUGACAUGAACCGGAAACGCCUGGAGACAGGUGCCCCGCUUGCGGUCGGUUUACAGGUGGUGCAUGGUUGUCGUCAGCUCGUGUCGUGAGAUGUUGGGUUAAGUCCCGCAACGAGCGCAACCCUCGUUCUAUGUUGCCAGCACGUG